UCUGGUUGAUUCUGCCAGUGACAUAUGCUUCUCUCAAAGAUUAAGCCAUGCAUGUGUAAGUGCAAGCCAUAUUAUGGUGAAACCGCAGAAGGCUCAUUAUAUCAGUCAUGGUUCAAUGGAUUGUACCCAGUUACUUGGAUAACUGCGGAAAUACUGGAGCUAAUACAUGCCAACGGAGUUCUGACCGGAGACGGGAGGAACGCUUUUAUUAGAUCAAAACCAAUCGGCGGCUUCGGCUGUCGUGUUUUUGGUGACUCUGAAUAACUUUGAGCUGAUCGCACGGUCUUGUGCCGGCGACGCAUCUUUCAAAUGUCUGCCCUAUCAACUUUCGAUGGUAGGUUCUAUGCCUACCAUGGUUGUUACGGGUAACGGGGAAUCAGGGUUCGAUUCCGGAGAGGGAGCCUGAGACACGGCUACCACAUCCAAGGAAGGCAGCAGGCGCGCAAAUUACCCACUCCCGGCACGGGGAGGUAGUGACGAAAGAUAACGAUACAGGACUCAUCCGAGGCCCUGUAAUCGGAAUGGCAACACUUUAAAUCCUUUAUGGAGGACCUAACUGAGGGCAAGUCUGGUGCCAGCAGCCGCGGUAAUUCCAGCUCAGUUAGCGUAUAUCAAAGUUGUUGCGGUUAAAAAGCUCGUAGUUGGAUCUGUGUCUCGCACCGCCGGUUCACCGCCCGUCGGUGUUAAACUGGCGCGAUGCGAGACGUCAUGUCGGUGGUGCGACUAGCUGCUCCUUUCGGGGAGUGGGCGGCGCCUUUCAAUCCCUCUGCGGUGCUCUUCAUUGAGUGUCGAGGUGGGCCGGCACAUUUACUUUGAACAAAUUAGAGUGCUCAAAGCAGGCUUAUGCCUGAAUAUAUCUGCAUGGAAUAAUGGAAUAGGACUUCGGUUCUAUUUUGUUGGUUUUCGGAACCUGAAGUAAUGAUAAAUGGAGACAGGCGGGGGCAUUCGUAUUGCGACGUUAGAGGUGAAAUUCUUGGAUCGUCGCAAGACGGACUGAAGCGAAAGCAUUUGCCAAGGAUGUUCUCGUUGAUCAAGAACGAAAGUUUGGGGCUUGAAGGCGAUCAGAUACCGCCC
Molecule: ribosomal RNA, 1074 nt
Filed under: Monotropa hypopitys (pinesap)
Lineage: Eukaryota; Viridiplantae; Streptophyta; Magnoliopsida; Ericales; Ericaceae
Description: SSU rRNA
Rfam family: Eukaryotic small subunit ribosomal RNA
Source: RNAcentral